CCUACGGGAGGCAGCAGUGAGGAAUAUUGGUCAAUGGACGCAAGUCUGAACCAGCCAUGCCGCGUGCAGGAAGACGGCUCUAUGAGUUGUAAACUGCUUUUGUACGAGGGUAAACGCAGAUACGCGUAUCUGUCUGAAAGUAUCGUAAGAAUAAGGCUCGGCUAACUCCGUGCCAGCAGCCGGGGUCAUACGGAGGAUUCAAGCGUUAUCCGGAUUUAUUGGGUUUAAAGGGUGCGUAGGCGGUCGGAUAAGUUAGAGGUGAAAGCCCGAGGCCCAACUUCGGAAUUGCCUCUGAUACUGUUCGGCUAGAGAGUAGUUGCGGUAGGCGGAAUGUAUGGUGUAGCGGUGAAAUGCUUAGAGAUCAUACAGAACACCGAUUGCGAAGGCAGCUUACCAAGCUACUUCUGACGUUGAGGCACGAAAGCGUGGGGAGCAAACAGGAUUAGAUACCCUGGUAGUC
This 460-nucleotide ribosomal RNA is filed under the name uncultured bacterium. Its description in RNAcentral is "partial 16S ribosomal RNA". It matches the Rfam family "Bacterial small subunit ribosomal RNA", at positions 338 to 795 of the family's 1533-position model. The record is from RNAcentral.